This 424-nucleotide ribosomal RNA is filed under the name Verrucomicrobiota bacterium. RNAcentral's name for it is "Verrucomicrobia bacterium partial 16S ribosomal RNA". It matches the Rfam family "Bacterial small subunit ribosomal RNA", at positions 355 to 776 of the family's 1533-position model. Lineage: Bacteria; Pseudomonadati; Verrucomicrobiota. The record is from RNAcentral.
UGAGGAAUAUUGGUCAAUGUGCGAGAGCCUGAACCAGCCAAGUAGCGUGCAGGAUGACGGCCCUAUGGGUUGUAAACUGCUUUUAUAUGGGAAUAAAGUGAGGGACGUGUCCCUUAUUGCAUGUACCAUACGAAUAUGGACCGGCUAAUUCCGUGCCAGCAGCCGCGGUAAUACGGAAGUUCCAGGCGUUAUCCGGAUUUAUUGGGGUUAAAGGGAGCGUAGGCUGUUUGUUAAGCGUGUUGUGAAAUGUUAGGGCUGAACUUUUAGAUUUGAGCACGAACUGGUAGACUUGAGUGCUCACAACGUAGGCGGAAUUCAUGGUUUAGCGGUGAAAUGCUUAGAUAUCAUGACGAACUCCGAUUGCGAAGGCAGCUUACGGGAGCGCAACUGACGCUAAAGCUCGAAGGUGCGGGUAUCGAACAGG